Molecule: long non-coding RNA, 386 nt
Organism: Pezoporus occidentalis (night parrot)
Lineage: Eukaryota; Metazoa; Chordata; Aves; Psittaciformes; Psittacidae
Exons: 3
Source: RefSeq, a predicted model, not a curated record
CUCCACGACGGCUUCGAGCUCGGCGAAGCGCGCCGAGAGCCGGCCCAGCUGCUCCUUCAGCUCCGUGAAGUCCCGGUACAGCCCGUCCAGCGCCCCCGACAGCGACCGGAUCCUGCGCGGGCACAGCGGUCUGUGCCAGCUCCUCAUUCUUGGUCCUCACAGCUUCCAGCAACAAGCUGAUGCUGUCCUGGAAACCAUAAGAGGGAAAUCAAGCACUCCUGCAGGGCCCAGACUGGGGCUGUGAUCAGGGAAGUGCCUCCUGCCCUCCUCCACCAGCCACAGCAAGACACAACGCUCAGCUGGAAGGGGAGGCGUUGGGCCAGCAGCACACCCUGCCCUGGACCCACGGCUCGGUCACCUCCACGUGACAGCCCAGGAGGAGCUGA